RNAcentral lists this ribosomal RNA (490 nucleotides) under uncultured bacterium. Its description in RNAcentral is "partial 16S ribosomal RNA". It matches the Rfam family "Bacterial small subunit ribosomal RNA", at positions 30 to 507 of the family's 1533-position model. The record is from RNAcentral.
AUUGAACGCUGGCGGCAGGCCUAACACAUGCAAGUCGAACGGUAACAGGAAGCAGCUUGCUGCUUUGCUGACGAGUGGCGGACGGGUGAGUAAUGUCUGGGAAACUGCCUGAUGGAGGGGGAUAACUACUGGAAACGGUAGCUAAUACCGCAUAACGUCGCAAGACCAAAGAGGGGGACCUUCAGGCCUCUUGCCAUCGGAUGUGCCCAGAUGGGAUUAGCUAGUAGGUGGGGUAACGGCUCACCUAGGCGACGAUCCCUAGCUGGUCUGAGAGGAUGACCAGCCACACUGGAACUGAGACACGGUCCAGACUCCUACGGGAGGCAGCAGUGGGGAAUAUUGCACAAUGGGCGCAAGCCUGAUGCAGCCAUGCCGCGUGUAUGAAGAAGGCCUUCGGGUUGUAAAGUACUUUCAGCGGGGAGGAAGGGAGUAAAGUUAAUACCUUUGCUCAUUGACGUUACCCGCAGAAGAAGCACCGGCUAACUCCGUG